RNAcentral lists this ribosomal RNA (274 nucleotides) under uncultured bacterium. Its description in RNAcentral is "partial 16S ribosomal RNA". It matches the Rfam family "Bacterial small subunit ribosomal RNA", at positions 523 to 796 of the family's 1533-position model. The record is from RNAcentral.
AUACGAAAGGUGCAAGCGUUGUUCGGAAUCACUGGGCGUAAAGCGCGCGCAGGCGGCUAUUUAAGUUGGAUGUGAAAGCCUACGGCUCAACCGUAGAACUGCAUCCAAAACUAUUUAGCUAGAGUGUGGGAGAGGAAGAUGGAAUUAGUUGUGUAGGGGUAAAAUCCGUAGAGAUAACUAGGAAUACCAAAAGCGAAGGCAAUCUUCUGGAACACUACUGACGCUGAGGCGCGAAAGCGUGGGGAGCAAACAGGAUUAGAAACCCGGGUAGUCC